RNAcentral lists this unclassified non-coding RNA (3878 nucleotides) under Hevea brasiliensis (rubber tree). The record is from RNAcentral. Lineage: Eukaryota; Viridiplantae; Streptophyta; Magnoliopsida; Malpighiales; Euphorbiaceae.
UUAAUCUACCUAUGCUCGGUUGUGUCGUCGAGCUUCUUCUCUUUAAGCUCGGUUUUGUCCCUAAAUGCUAUAUAUAUCCAGACCCAUCACAGUCUUCUCCUAUUUCAUGUCUUCAAUCGACAUCACUCUGUCCUCUGCUCCUUGUUGUUCAGAGUGGAACUGGUCUCAAACCCUAACUUUUCUCCAUAUCCUCUUUACAACUCUUCUUGUUUGUUUUCUCCUUUCUCUUUCCGUUCCCUUUAUAGCUCGGGUUUUCACACAGCAUGAGUAACAAGAAGAUGCUAUUAUUUGGGUCAUUCACAGAAGAUGAAACCAAGUCAUGGCUGCAAAAGCCAUCAUCUGAGAAUGAUGAAAAGCCCGUGGAAAAGAAAGAACUGCAAUUUGGUUCUUUGAGUUUUGCAACUGGAAUAACUUUCGGUGAUUUUAAUAGUGAAUCAAGCAGGCAACUAGGUUCUGCAAAUGGAAAAGCCAGUUUUCAGACUACAAAUCCACUUAAGAAGGAAAAGGAUGUGAAGAUUGCACAAAAAGUGCAUGAUUUGCUUGUGGUGCAGGGAAGUCCAAAACAAAAUGGAAGCUUUGGCAAUUUCACCCAUGGCGUUUCCCUUAUUAAUGGUGUGAAAGGCUUAAAAAUGAAGAGCAUAGAUUUGACUUCUUUGCACUUAUCCAAGAGGGAAGACAGUUCCAGAAAUCAAUCACAAAGCUCAAGCUUUGAUGUCCUUGAUUGUGAGGGUGUAAAUGAUGGGAAUUCUGGGGAUACUGACAAUGAUCCACUGGUACAUGUGAAGAGGGAGGACUUUCAGAAGCCAACUGAUGGGCCUGGUGCAGCAGUUAAAAGUUUACUACCUCGUGGUUUAAUUAACCAGGGGAAUUUAUGCUUUCUUAAUGCUUCUCUGCAGGCUCUCUUGUCCUGUUCCCCAUUCGUUCAGCUUCUGCAGGAUCUUAGAAUUCGCAACAUCCCAAAGGUUGGCUUUCCGACAUUAACCGCCUUUGCAGAGUUUGUUUCUAACUUUGACAUGCCAAGCAGUUCCAGCAUGAAAAAGGACAUUGCUAUUGUUGAGACUGGUAGGCCUUUUAGCCCAGCCAUGUUUGAAUGCGUUCUUAAAAAUUUUACUCCAGAUAUGCCAUAUAGCAUAUCAGGACGACCAAGGCAAGAGGAUGCUCAGGAGUUUUUGAGUUUCAUCAUGGAUCAAAUGCAUGAUGAAUUACUUGAAUUUGAAGGACAUUCUGCUAGUAUUAAUGGUGCCAAAUCUACUCUAGUAUCCUCAACAGAGGAUGACGAAUGGGAGACAGUUGGCCCAAAAAACAAAUCUGCAGUAACUAGAACGCAAAGCUUCAUUCCUUCAGAGCUAAGUGAUAUUUUUGGAGGACAGUUGAGAAGUGUUGUGAAAGCAAGAGGUAUCUGAGUUGUUAUCUUUUAAUAGCUGUGAUUGGAAGAAUGUAUGUUUUCAAUUCGAAGAAUCUAUAGGAUCGAUUUAGUAGAAAACAAAACUACCUAGAAUCAUGUGUGGAAUCCUAUUCACAUCCUGCAUCAACAGAUCUCUAGCCUCAUUCAGAGGAACUUGAGAAUUCCAAAUCCCUACUUCCACGUAUACUUCAUAAUUACUCAGAAUUAGCCAACCAGUGACGAAUCUGCUAUUUAGCUGUCCUUGCAAAACACGUUCACUAUUCAAUAUCUGCAUGCUAGUUCCUUGGGUAGAGUCAAAUUCACUAUUGUGGCAAUAGGGUGAAGAAAUCAAGUUUUGCUCAGUGCAAAGCUCAACCAACUAAAAAUCCACUUCAACAACCUGAUGGUUAUUCCCAAAACAACUGCAACCCACCAACAAAUAUAAAGCCUCCAACUCAACAAAGACCGAUGUGCAAACUCCAAUGUUUAGUGCAAAUUCACCAAACCAAAAUGUACCCUGCUUUCGUGAUAUCCUAUAAAUUCUGUACAAAUUAUAAUUAUAGGUUAUAGGGUCAGGACUCAGGAUCAACUUACAUGUAUAAGUUAUAGUAUUUUGCACAGUUCAUUUUUCCUAUGAUUCAUAUUUCUUGAAAUUGACUGGUAGAUUUUACUGCUCUGGUGAUGUAGAUCAUGGAUGCCAAAUAUAUGAAAAAGUUAUGGGACCUUGUAAAAAACUGUUUAACUUUUACACGAUAGAGUUGUGUUUGGUCAUGCUAUAUCUUUUCAUUUGUUUGACAGCUUAAUGACUAUCAUGCUAAGGAGUAAACUAGUAUUAGAAUAGAAGCAACAACUACGUCUAAGGGAAUUAAUUUUGAAGAAACGGCAAGCAUCAAAAUGCUGAGUCCGUCCUGGUUUAUAUUUUGUUGGGCUUGUAAUGUCCUGAAUGUUAAGUUUUCUCUCCCCGCCCCACCCCCCAAUCAGUAGGAGUGUAAUCCUGCAUUUAUCCAUUCCGUCACCCUUUUUUAUAGCUAGUAUUUUCCUUUUUUGUGGUGCAGGAAAUAAAGCUUCUGCAACUGUUCAACCAUUUCUAUUGCUUCACCUAGAUAUUUAUCCUGAAGCUGUUCAUACUAUUGAGGAUGCACUUCAUUUGUUCUCUGCACCAGAAAAUCUUGAAGGGUAUCGGACAUCGGCAAUUGGGAAGGCUGGUGCAGUGACUGCAAGAAAAUCUGUGAAGAUACAGACACUUUCUAAGAUAUUGAUUUUGCACUUGAUGCGUUUUAGUUAUGGAAGCCAAGGUAGCGCCAAGUUGCACAAGCCUGUGCACUUCCCUCUUGAAUUGGUACUGGGCCGGGAACUGCUUGUUUCUCCAUUGAAUGAGGUAAGUCACCUUUACCUCCUUUUCUUCUAUGCUAAUUGUUCAAUUUUUGGCUAAUAGAUGCAUUAUCUGGCUUAACUAAAUAUUACCUUUCUAUUAUUAAUCUCUUUUGAAUUGAUUGUGGGAAACAUGUAGAUAUUAUUUGCCUCCUUAGCUUGCUAAAUAUCAAGUUCUUUGAGCUUUACUAUGUUGGGGUUCUAGUUAUUCUGUAGUUGGUUUGGUUUUUUUGUGUUGGUUUGCUGUAUUAGUCUAGUUGUUGCUUUAUAUUGUGUGGCUAAAAAGUUUUGAUUCAUGAAUUUUGUUGGUUGAAAAUUUAAAUUGGCAUUUUCAUAUUAUUGUGGCAUACCAAGAGUUUUCUUUUUUUAAUGAUUUGACAAGAUAAUAGUAAUCAUUUCUUUACUUCAUCAUCAACUAUCAGGCAUCAGGUCUCUCAUGAGGCAUCUUGCAUCCCAAAAUUAAAUAAUUACAAAUGCUUUUUAUUUUCUUCUGGUGUUGCAUUUCAGAGCCGAAAAUAUGAACUUGUUGCUACGGUCACUCAUCAUGGGAGGGAGCCUUCAAAGGGUCAUUAUACUGCCGAUGCCCGCUAUCCCAAUGGCCAAUGGCUACAUUUUGAUGAUGCAUUUGUCACUGCAAUUGGGACAAGCAAGGUGUUGCAUGACCAGGCCUAUGUCCUUUUCUACAAACAAGUAUAGGAGGUGAUGGAUAAAGUAUUAAUGGAUAAGAUUAUUGAUCAGCAAGGAACUUUUCUGUCAGGGUUGAAAGGUGCAUUAACCGUCCUGCAUCAAGACCCCAGGGCCAGGGGCCAUGUAGAAUGUAAUAUUACCAACUAGUUCAAACUAAUCUCUUCCAUAUGAAUAAACCUUCUGAAAGUUUUGUCUCAAGGAAGUGGGGAAGCUUACUUUUCCUGUUUAAGCUUUACAUCUAGGAAUGCAAUUGAUCUGUAAUUUUCUAUUAUAAGCGCUAAAAUGCAUUGGAAGUUAUUGCUGUUUAAUUUAGAUGCUUGUUAUUGUGAAAAUAUUUAGAGUUAAGUAACAAUUUUGUUUUAUGGUCAAUGGAGACGAUAUAUUGAUGUUCAUAAGCCAUUCACUCUUCCCUUAUGAUGAACUGAUUAGGAUUUAU